Molecule: ribosomal RNA, 468 nt
Filed under: uncultured bacterium
Lineage: Bacteria
Description: partial 16S ribosomal RNA
Rfam family: Bacterial small subunit ribosomal RNA
Source: RNAcentral
GGCGAACGCUGGCGGCGUGCUUAACACAUGCAAGUCGAACGGAAAGGCCCUGCUUUUGUGGGGUGCUCGAGUGGCGAACGGGUGAGUAACACGUGAGUAACCUGCCCUUGACUUUGGGAUAACUUCAGGAAACUGGGGCUAAUACCGGAUAGGAGCUCCUGCUGCAUGGUGGGGGUUGGAAAGUUUCGGCGGUUGGGGAUGGACUCGCGGCUUAUCAGCUUGUUGGUGGGGUAGUGGCUUACCAAGGCUUUGACGGGUAGCCGGCCUGAGAGGGUGACCGGCCACAUUGGGACUGAGAUACGGCCCAGACUCCUACGGGAGGCAGCAGUGGGGAAUAUUGCACGAUGGGCGGAAGCCUGAUGCAGCAACGCCGCGUGCGGGAUGACGGCCUUCGGGUUGUAAACCGCUUUCGCCUGUGACGAAGCGUGAGUGACGGUAAUGGGUAAAGAAGCACCGGCUAACUACGUG